Molecule: long non-coding RNA, 1117 nt
Filed under: Neogobius melanostomus (round goby)
Lineage: Eukaryota; Metazoa; Chordata; Actinopteri; Gobiiformes; Gobiidae
Description: lncRNA (ENSNMLG00000005380.1)
Source: RNAcentral
CGUCAGCGCUGUUGUUGACAUUAGCUUCAGCAGCAGAAAUGAUUUUAAUCUUUCUCGUCAUUAAAGCGCAGUUUUGCGGAUGAAAAAAUGUGCUUUUUCCCCGCGGUUCUUCUGCUCCUGGACCGGGCCGCUCUCCUCAUGAAUCCCGCAGACACUUUAUGAAGUUUAAUCCGCGGAAACAGCUCUGAAAGUGGAGUUUUUUUUACCCGCGCGGCUAACAGCUAAAGCUAACGAGCUAACAGCUAACUCUCUCAGGUGAAAUGUCGACUUCGUUUAAAAUCCCAAAAGAAGCCGCUCGGAGUCGGACUCGGUGCAGAUGACGUCGCCGCUGUCCCGGCUCCAGAGCCCGCGGAGACACAGGACAAGGGUUUCGCUCCGUUCAGAGACAGGACUCUCUCUGGGAACAGCUCCUCCGUGACUCCUCUCAGAGGAACAAACUCUCACAAACUCCACCUGAAGCCCAGACUCGGACACAAACCGGCCGAGCCUUUCUCCAACGGGUGGCGCCCUAAGCGAGCGUCGGACCGGCUGCUGUCGCCUGUGGCUGUUUCUCGAGUCGAGCAGAAAAAUGAAGAAAGUUCAGAUUCUGCUGAAGAUUCUCCUCAGAAGAAAAUCUCGCCUCUGUCGGAGCCGUCUCCUCUGCGCCCGAUCUCCGUCCGAUCCCUCGACUCUUUGUCCGCGCUCCGAGCAGAACGGCAUCAUGGGAGUCCUGGAGACGACCGGAAGAGGACGCCCCAAACUGAGACCAGUUUGUCCUGGUCCAGAGUGAGUUCAGUCUCUGCAGCUGCUGCUCCUUCAACAUCCACCACGAGCAGCGGGAAACCUCCAUCAGGAGCCUCAGGAGCCACAGACCAGAGCGUCUGGUCCGACCUCAGUGACGUCCGGGAGAAGCAGAGGGAGAAAUGGAGACAGUUCAAAGAGAAGAACAAAACCGAAGUCAGGCCGGGAUCCGGACCAAACCCCAGACCAGGACCAGGACCAGGACCACGGCCAGCUCCGAGCCCAUCGUUCUGUCCAGUGAAGAGGAGGAGGAAGAGGAGCAGGGCGGGGUCGACAGAACCGUCCAAUCAGAUCGCUCCGAGCGCUCACAGAGCCGCGCCCCCUCAGAGUCUCCGCC